CAAAAACAAUGUGUUACAGCACAGUUAGAUAAACCACCUCCUAAGAAACGAGGACGCAAAYGUCGAAUUGAURAGCUUCAAGAGCCUUAUAGAUGUUUCACAUCAGUGAACAAAAAUCAAUAUAAAUCACACAAAAAAAUAAAAAGAGAAGAUGUAAAAAGAAAGAUCAGAGAAGAUAAUGAAAGAAAGAAAAACGAUGAAGAAAUAGAUGAACAGAGAACAUAUUAUUUAAAACUUGAAGGAGUGUCCGAAAAGGAUUUUGAGGACUUUUACUUCGAAAAAUUAAAUUAGAAAUCGAUCUAUCACACGACCAAAAUCAAAUGUAUAUAUAGCACAGUUAGAUAAACAACCUACUAAGAAACGAGGAUGCWAACGUCGAAUUGAUGAGCUUCAAGAGCUCAAUAGGAAAAACAGUUACACUUGGCCCAGUUCAACCACAGAUCAGCCGCUUGGGGUGGACAAGUGAGAUUAGUUUUUAGAUUAUUUU
Molecule: long non-coding RNA, 487 nt
Organism: Diuraphis noxia (Russian wheat aphid)
Lineage: Eukaryota; Metazoa; Arthropoda; Insecta; Hemiptera; Aphididae
Source: RefSeq, a predicted model, not a curated record